RNAcentral lists this ribosomal RNA (255 nucleotides) under uncultured bacterium. RNAcentral's name for it is "partial 16S ribosomal RNA". It matches the Rfam family "Bacterial small subunit ribosomal RNA", at positions 524 to 776 of the family's 1533-position model. The record is from RNAcentral.
UACGUAGGCAGCAAGCGUUUGUUCGGAAUUACUGGGCGUAAAGAGUGUGUAGGCGGUGCUCUAAGUUUGUCGUGAAAUCUCCCGGCUUAACUGGGAGGGUGCGGCGAAAACUGGAGUGCUAGAGGGUGGGAGAGGAAAGCGGAAUUCCUGGUGUAGCGGUGAAAUGCGCAGAUAUCAGGAGGAACACCGGUGGCGAAGGCGGGUCUCUGGGCCGAUACUGACGCUGGAGGAGCGAAAGCGUGGGGAGCGAACAGG